Long non-coding RNA from Pecten maximus, 793 nucleotides. RefSeq lists it as uncharacterized. The record is from RefSeq and is a predicted model, not a curated record. The transcript has 2 exons. Lineage: Eukaryota; Metazoa; Mollusca; Bivalvia; Pectinida; Pectinidae.
CCUCCCUUAAUUUGAAAUUUACCCUGUUCCAGGGUUUUCAUUACAUAACCUGUUCCAGGUUACCUCCCUUAGUUGAGAUGUACCCUGUUCCAGGGCUUAGUUAUAUAACCUGUUCCAGGUUACCUUCCUUAGAGAUUUACCCUGUUCCAGGGCUGAGUUAUGUAACCUGUUCCAGGUUACCUCCCUUAGUUGAGAUGUACCCUGUUCCAGGGCUUAGUUAUAUAACCUGUUCCAGGUUACCUUAAUUAGUGGAGAUUUGCCCUGUUCCAGGGAUUAAUUAUGUAACUUGUUCCAGGUUACCUCCCUUAGUUGAGAUGUACCCUGUUCCAGGGCUUAGUUAUAUAACCUGUUCCAGGUUACCUUACUUAGUGGAGAUUUGCCUUGUUCCAGGGCUUAGUUAUGUAACCUGUUCCAGGUUACCUCCCUUAGUUGAGAUGUACCCUGUUCCAGGGCUUAGUUAUAUAACCUGUUCCAGGUUACCUUCCUUAGAGAUUUACCCUGUUCCAGGGCUUAGUUUAAUGUAACCUGUUCCAGGUUACCUUACUUAGUGGAGAUUUGCCUUGUUCAAUGGCCAUUAGAAUUCCAGGGAAUUCUUUUUCCCCAUUCAGAUAAUAACUACCUUUACAGGUUAUAUCAAAUUAAUUAAUUGGAUCAUGUGUUUUUAAUAUGAAGUUAUGGUUAUAUUUUAGUAAAUGUAUACAACAUGGUGAGUAGCCCCCAAGAAGAGCCAAAAUUAAGAUUGUAAUUCAUGUUGCUGAGAAAUCUAAAAGUAAUAAAUCAUAUUCGAAUUUUA